Molecule: ribosomal RNA, 481 nt
Filed under: uncultured bacterium
Lineage: Bacteria
Description: partial 16S ribosomal RNA
Rfam family: Bacterial small subunit ribosomal RNA
Source: RNAcentral
GGUGAACGCUGGCGGCGUGCUUAACACAUGCAAGUCGAACGAAGCACUUUAUUUGAUUUCCUUCGGGACUGAUUAUUUUGUGACUGAGUGGCGGACGGGUGAGUAACGCGUGGGUAACCUGCCUUGUACAGGGGGAUAACAGUUGGAAACGGCUGCUAAUACCGCAUAAGCGCACAGCAUUGCAUGAUGCAGUGUGAAAAACUCCGGUGGUAUAAGAUGGACCCGCGUUGGAUUAGCUAGUUGGUGAGGUAACGGCCCACCAAGGCGACGAUCCAUAGCCGACCUGAGAGGGUGACCGGCCACAUUGGGACUGAGACACGGCCCAAACUCCUACGGGAGGCAGCAGUGGGGAAUAUUGCACAAUGGGCGAAAGCCUGAUGCAGCGACGCCGCGUGAGCGAAGAAGUAUUUCGGUAUGUAAAGCUCUAUCAGCAGGGAAGAUAAUGACGGUACCUGACUAAGAAGCACCGGCUAAAUACGUG